This 112-nucleotide ribosomal RNA is filed under the name Acanthosepion pharaonis. Lineage: Eukaryota; Metazoa; Mollusca; Cephalopoda; Sepiida; Sepiidae. The record is from RNAcentral.
UACAGCCACAGCACGUUGAAACACCGGUUCCCGCACAAUCACCGACGUUAAGCAACAUCUAGUCUGGUCAGUACCUAGAUGGGUGACCACUUGGGAAUACCAGUUGCUGUAA